Long non-coding RNA from Oxyura jamaicensis (ruddy duck), 693 nucleotides. RefSeq lists it as uncharacterized. The transcript is spliced from 3 exons. The record is from RefSeq and is a predicted model, not a curated record. Lineage: Eukaryota; Metazoa; Chordata; Aves; Anseriformes; Anatidae.
UACUUCCCCUAUUCCUCCCCUCAUCAUUGCUUUCUGAUUUCAGCCCUAAAUUAGCAAAGUUUAGGAGGAGGUGAUCUGACAAUCACAAACUGUUUUUUUUUGUUGUUGUUGAAAAAUAUUUUAGUGUCCAGUUGUUUUGAACAGGAUACAAGCAUACUCAUGUUGGCAGGUCAUGUUCCAGAUGAAAAUCAUCAGUGUGCAAGGUGUGCAUUUACUUUUUUUUUAAAAAAAAAAAAAAAAAAAAAAAAAAAGUAUCUAGUUUCCUUCCGUUUUACAGACAUCUAAAUAUUUCUUUUGACCUAAUGUGGUGUGAUAGGUGGGAGGAGGCCAGAAAGGAUGUAAUACAAGGUACUUACUCCUUCAAUGAGUCCAUUUUGAUUGCAGAUCUGAAGAUAUUUCUUCAAAAUGACAAGUGAGGUGAUUUAUGCAGAGGUAUCACCUGAAGAAAGAAUGCGUUUUACUUCACAAAAUUCAGAUGCAGGUGAUCAGAUCACCUAUGCUGAGGUGAAAAUGAAAUGGAAAUCCGACAAUACCAACAGUACAUCCAAGUCUACACAUACAACAGUGGCCUGCUAUGAGAGCAAACACUGGUGUUACGUUGCCAUCAUCCUGUACUUUGUUGCAGUGGCUCUGCUCAUCUGUGUGAUCCUUUUAGCUCUGAAAUGUAAUAAUUCCUGAGGCAGAUGGUGCAGU